RNAcentral lists this ribosomal RNA (408 nucleotides) under uncultured Gammaproteobacteria bacterium. RNAcentral's name for it is "bacterial SSU rRNA". It matches the Rfam family "Bacterial small subunit ribosomal RNA", at positions 955 to 1361 of the family's 1533-position model. Lineage: Bacteria; Pseudomonadati; Pseudomonadota; Gammaproteobacteria. The record is from RNAcentral.
UGGAACGGGGAAGAACCCUUACCUACUCUUGACAUCCAGAGAACUUUCCAGAGAUGGAUUGGUGCCUUUGGGAACUCAGAGACAGGUGCUGCAUAGCUGUUGUCAGCUCGUGUUGUGAAAUGUUGGGUUAAGUCCCGCAACGAGCGCAACCCCUUUCCUUAUUUGCCAGCGCGUAAGGCCGGGAACUCCAGGGAGACUGCCGGUGAUAAACCGGAGGAAGGUGGGGAGGACGUCAAGUCAUCAUGGCCCUUACGAGCAGGGCUACACACGUGCUACAAUGGCGCAUACAAAGGGCAGCCAACCCGCGAGAGCGAGCUAAUCCCAAAAAUUUCUUCGUAGUCCGGAUUGGAGUCUGCAACUCGACUCCAGAAGUCGGAUCGCUAGUAAUCGGUUCACAGAAGAAAUUCG